UUUUCUUCCGAGUACUGGUCGAGUUUGGGAUGCUCCGUGAAGCGAGGAAAGUCUUUGAGAAGAUGUUGAGUUACGGAUUGGUUCUCUCUGUUGAUUCAUGUAACUUAUACCUUUCGAAAGAAAAAACUGCAACGGCUGUUAUAGAUUACGGAGUGGUUCUCUCUGUUGAUUCAUGUAACUUAUACCUUUCGAAAGAAAAAACUGCAACGGCUGUUAUAGUAUUCAAAGAGUUUCCUGAGGUGGGUGUUUGUUGGAACGUCGCUUCGUAUAACAUUGUGAUUCAUUGCGUUUGUCAGCUUGGGAG
This 304-nucleotide long non-coding RNA is filed under the name Brassica napus (rape). RNAcentral's name for it is "long non-coding RNA (BNAP_LNC005885)". Lineage: Eukaryota; Viridiplantae; Streptophyta; Magnoliopsida; Brassicales; Brassicaceae. The record is from RNAcentral.